ACCCGAGACUCAGUGAAAUUGAACUCGCUGUGAAGAUGCAGUGUACCCGCGGCAAGACGGAAAGACCCCGUGAACCUUUACUAUAGCUUGACACUGAACAUUGAGCCUUGAUGUGUAGGAUAGGUGGGAGGCUUUGAAGCGUGGACGCCAGUCUGCGUGGAGCCAACCUUGAAAUACCACCCUUUAAUGUUUGAUGUUCUAACGUUGGCCCCUAAUCGGGGUUGCGGACAGUGUCUGGUGGGUAGUUUGACUGGGGCGGUCUCCUCCCAAAGCGUAACGGAGGAGCACGAAGGUUAGCUAAUCCUGGUCGGACAUCAGGAGGUUAGUGCAAUGGCAUAAGCUAGCUUGACUGCGAGCGUGACGGCGCGAGCAGGUGCGAA
RNAcentral lists this ribosomal RNA (380 nucleotides) under Klebsiella quasipneumoniae subsp. similipneumoniae. RNAcentral's name for it is "partial 23S ribosomal RNA". It matches the Rfam family "Bacterial large subunit ribosomal RNA", at positions 2024 to 2403 of the family's 2925-position model. Lineage: Bacteria; Pseudomonadati; Pseudomonadota; Gammaproteobacteria; Enterobacterales; Enterobacteriaceae. The record is from RNAcentral.